UUAUCGGAGAGUUUGAUCCUGGCUCAGGACGAACGCUGGCGGCGUGCCUAAUACAUGCAAGUCGAGCGGACAGAUGGGAGCUUGCUCCCUGAUGUUAGCGGCGGACGGGUGAGUAACACGUGGGUAACCUGCCUGUAAGACUGGGAUAACUCCGGGAAACCGGGGCUAAUACCGGAUGCUUGUUUGAACCGCAUGGUUCAAACAUAAAAGGUGGCUUCGGCUACCACUUACAGAUGGACCCGCGGCGCAUUAGCUAGUUGGUGAGGUAAUGGCUCACCAAGGC
RNAcentral lists this ribosomal RNA (283 nucleotides) under Bacillus spizizenii. RNAcentral's name for it is "partial 16S ribosomal RNA". It matches the Rfam family "Bacterial small subunit ribosomal RNA", at positions 1 to 274 of the family's 1533-position model. RNAcentral also lists the same sequence under 2 other names. The record is from RNAcentral. Lineage: Bacteria; Bacillati; Bacillota; Bacilli; Caryophanales; Bacillaceae.